Molecule: long non-coding RNA, 627 nt
Organism: Stegodyphus dumicola
Lineage: Eukaryota; Metazoa; Arthropoda; Arachnida; Araneae; Eresidae
Source: RefSeq, a predicted model, not a curated record
AAUAGUGUCAUUGCCACAGAAUAAAAACGAAACUACUCAUGACAUCAUUCCGUCUACGUCAUCCAAUCCAUCUACGUCACUUCCGGUUGUCACGUGAUUCAGGAUGGUGGAGACCACAGCCCUUUUCUGUUAAGUCACUUCCAUCACCCGAGUACCUGCGGUUACUACUCGUAUUCAUGAGGAAAAAGAAUUGAAUUGUAAUAAGUUAAUAUUAUUUUAAAUAAAUUCUAGUGUUCGUCUAUGUGUGGCCUCUUAAUUUAGUUACGCUGUUUUUCUUUGAUUGCUGAUUUAACAUCAUCGUAGCAACAGUCACCCUGGGAAGAAAAGAUCUCUGAUUGCUGCCUGUCACAUUAAAAGAUUCUUGGAAAUGGAUGAUGAGAAAUCUGGCAGAAAUCUUGUUUGGGAAAUUUUAAAUUAAAUGUUUACAAGAAAAUUAUUUACACCGAACUUCAUGACUUCAUUUGUACUGAAAAGGAUUUUAAUAGUGCCUUCCAUAUGUUACAAAUUACACAUAAUGUUCUGCUAUCCACAAUUUAUCUCACUGGCUAUUAUAUGUAUAGGUUUCCGAAGACCAAAAUGUGAAUAGUGUCACGACAACUUUACUUUAAAUAAAACUUUGGAAUCAGA